CUACGGGACGCAGCAGCGAGGAAUAUUGCACAAUGGGGGGAGCCCUGAUGCAGCAACGCCGCGUGGAGGAUGACGCAUUUCGGUGUGUAAACUCCUUUUAUAUGUCAAGAAAAUGACGGUAGCAUAUGAAUAAGCACCGGCUAACUCCGUGCCAGCAGCCGCGGUAAUACGGAGGGUGCAAGCGUUACUCGGAAUCACUGGGCGUAAAGGACGCGUAGGCGGGUUGGAAAGUCAGGUGUGAAAUCCUACAGCUUAACUGUAGAACUGCACUUGAAACUUCUAAUCUAGAGUAUGGGAGGGGGAGAUGGAAUUAGUGGUGUAGGGGUAAAAUCCGUAGAUAUCACUAGGAAUACCUAAAGCGAAGGCGAUCUCCUGGAACAUUACUGACGCUAAGGCGUGAAAGCGUGGGGAGCAAACAGGAUUAGAUACCCGCGUAGUC
RNAcentral lists this ribosomal RNA (439 nucleotides) under uncultured bacterium. RNAcentral describes it as "partial 16S ribosomal RNA". It matches the Rfam family "Bacterial small subunit ribosomal RNA", at positions 339 to 795 of the family's 1533-position model. The record is from RNAcentral.